AAGUUAAAACGGACAUUUCCUGACUGGCCAGACACUUGGAGUUCUGAUUUCAUCUCCCUUUAGCAUCUGCCAGGAAAAGAGACAAAAUGCAGAGGUCCAAGAAAGUUCUCUCACAAGAGGACAGCAUCUUGACAGAGAUUCAAUGCUUAGAAGAACUGUACAGAAGAUACAGUAAGUGUGGAGGCUGCUAGAGUCCAAGAGACCAGAGGAAGACCAUGAUAACAAGGUGAUACCAUGACAUGCAUGAAUUGGAUUUCAAUGAGAGAGACCUGUGCAGUCACCAGCCUCACUUUCUCCUUCAGAGCCAUCUGGGUCCAUUGACAAAAUAUAUAG
Molecule: long non-coding RNA, 333 nt
Filed under: Sarcophilus harrisii (Tasmanian devil)
Lineage: Eukaryota; Metazoa; Chordata; Mammalia; Dasyuromorphia; Dasyuridae
Description: lncRNA (ENSSHAG00000029207.1)
Source: RNAcentral